RNAcentral lists this non-coding RNA (957 nucleotides) under Afroedura loveridgei. RNAcentral's name for it is "12S ribosomal RNA". It matches the Rfam family "Bacterial small subunit ribosomal RNA". Lineage: Eukaryota; Metazoa; Chordata; Lepidosauria; Squamata; Gekkonidae. The record is from RNAcentral.
CAUAGUUUUGGUCCUAGACUUACUGUUGUCUAUAGCUAUAUUUACACAUGCAAGUAUCCGCACACCAGUGCAAACGCCACAGAAAUUGUACACCACAACCCGGAGCAGGCAUCAGGCACACACAUGUGGCCCACAACGCCUAGCUAGUGCCACACCCCCACGGACUCCAGCAGUGAUAAACAUUGAGCAAUGAAUAAACACUCGACUCAGCUACAGCUAACCAGAGCCGGUAAACCUCGUGCCAGCCACCGCGGUUACACGAGGGACUCAAGACAACAAACCUACGGCGUAAAAUGUGACUAGAGAUCACCGUACUAAAAUGAAACAAAAACUACAAUUAAGUCGUAAAAAACUUAUACUACCUGGAACCACAACUACGUUUCACUAAAUACCCCCUUGACCACACGAAAGCUAAGACACAAACUAGGAUUAGAUACCCUACUAUGCUUAGCCGUUAACUUACGCACAAACCACAACCACAACUGCCCGCCAGAGAAUUACAAGCGAAAACCUUAAAACUCAAAGGACUUGACGGUGUCCCAUAUCGUCCUAGAGGAGCCUGUCCUAUAAUCGAUACCCCACGUCACACCUUACCUAAUCUUGCACUGCCACAGCCUAUAUACCGCCGUCGCCAGCUUGCCUACGAUAGACACACAGCAAGCACAAUAAGCCACCCCUUAAAACGUCAGGUCAAGGUGUAGCUAAUAAUUAGGAACGAGAUGGGCUACACUUUCUAAUAUAGAAAAUCUAAACCCUAGGCAAAAUGAAACAUUUUACUGAAAGACGGAUUUAGCAGUAAAUAAGACAAGAAAAGUCAUAUUGAAGCUUGCCCUGGGACGCGUACACACCGCCCGUCACCCUCCUCAACAUUACAUUAUACAAUAACUAAUAACAGUCACAAUGAAAGAUGAGGCAAGUCGUAACAUGGUAAGCGUACUGGAAAGUGCGCUUGGAAAA